Perca fluviatilis (European perch) is the source of this 483-nucleotide long non-coding RNA. RefSeq lists it as uncharacterized. The record is from RefSeq and is a predicted model, not a curated record. Lineage: Eukaryota; Metazoa; Chordata; Actinopteri; Perciformes; Percidae. The transcript has 3 exons.
CUCACCCUGACAGUGUGGGCCUGUCCCAGCCGUACAGGAUUGGCCAGCUUGACCUGGAUCUGAGCACAGUGGAAGGAGCCGAACACGCCCACCACCUCCAGCAGACCAUCAUCCAACCUGCAGGGGGAGACGGGAAUUCACCGUUAGUUGCCACGGUUUCCCGGAGCACUUGCUAUAAACCCUUCACUCUAUCCCAAAUCAAAGACUGGCCCACCUGUCCAUUUUGACCACCUCGGCAUCGAGGAUGUUACGGAGAACCUGUUCCACAGGGAUCUCCCCAGCAUAGCCAGCACCCCAGCCCAAAGUGUUGGACAGGUCAUUUCCUGUCCCCAGAGGCAGGAUGGUCACCCUUGGCAUGAACUGGUCCUGGCCCUGACACAGGAGAGUAGAAGAGCAGCAGAGACAGUCCCAUCUGACCUUCAGCUUCAUAGUAUCGAUGGCAUCCAGCACCCAGCCCACUGUGCCGUCACCCCCACACACCAG